UCUAUGUCACUCAGACAUGCAUAUGCAUGUGCUGGACUCUAGAACCCUUGGAGCCUCGAGCCAUUACUAUGCUCUGCUAAUCUAAAAUCAUGGAUUAAGGCGAUUAAGAAGAACAUAAAAAUGAAUGAGAGAAUUUCAAGAUGACUAAAUCAGAUGCCACCACCAUUGGCCCAAUUGCUGCUGUGAAAUCUGAAUUGAUACCUACAAUUUUUCUUCCCCUUCUUGGUUAACUGAAUUAUAACAUGAACACUAGACACAGUUUUCAAUUUCAAAAUGAAUAUUUUGAACUAAAUGAAGAGCACAAUGAUGAACUCAGCAUUUAAAUAUGCUAGGGACUGGGAAUCAGCAUCACAUAUUAUCUUACAUUACCACCCCACUAGUCAUGUUCUUGAAAUCAAUACAAACUUCCCACAUAUUAAAUAGAGAGAACAGAGCCUUUCCUAGGGUGCUAAAGGAAACAGACCACUAAAAUACAGGUCAAAUUGGCUCUCUCACUUGCACACAUUUAACGGUCAUAACUUUCUAUGUCCAGAGUUUUGGACCCUAGAAUAUUGACGACUGUGCUGGACAAAUUUCAAAAAUAUAUCCAAGCACAUCACAUUUAUAGGCACAGAAAACUAUGAUACUUACAAACUGUCUUCAAAACCUUUAUAUAUGAUGCUGACAUUAUUGAGCUAUGCACAAGCUUACGAAGUUUCACUUCCUUGCUCAAGAAGGCUCUCGGUGUUAUAACUUCUGCCCCAAGCUCUUUCCUUCCAUAUCUGCUCUACUUCAACGAAUGUGAGCCCUUUGGUCUCUGGUACAAACAGAAGCACAAACACAAUUGCAGCGACAGCCACACCAGCAAGAAUCAAGAAAGUUGCACCGGUUCCCACAGCAUUGGCAAGUGAAAGGAAAGUUUGGGCCACGAUCAAAUUAGAAACCCAAUUCACAGUAGCUGACAUUCCACCACAUAUCCCUCGAUAUGCCUCAGGGUAUACCUCUGAGUUCACAGUCCAUGGAACUGGUCCCAUUCCAGGUGAGAAGAAGGCAAUGUAUAAAGCUAGUCCCAACACUGCUAGCCACCCAUAGAGUGCAUUUGAAGAACCAGAUGAUUUGCCAAAGAAUGCCACAGCCAAGAUGACAAGAGAAACAAUUACGCCAGUUAAGCUUGAGAGAGCCAACUUCCUCCGCCCAAAAUGGUCAAUAAGGUAAAUGCCAAGAAUCGAUCCUGCAGCAUUCAUUGCAGCAACGAUAAGGGACAGGAGAAGUGCUAAUUGGUUAGAACUAAAGCCAGCCAUUUGAACAAUGGUUGGGCUAUAGUACAUGACUGUAUUGAUGCCCGUGAACUGCUGAAAAGCCUGAAGCCCAGCCCCAGCAAGAAAUGCAAGUCUGAUUUCUUUUGAUUUGAACACAUCCAAGUAUCUGCCAUUAUUCUGUUUCAGGCGAUCUUCCACUGAAGAGGCAGAAAGUUGAUCAAUUUCAUCCUCCAAUCGGGCAAGGUCAUAUAUUUUGGCCAGUACCAUAAUGGCCUUAUCUUUAUCAUCCUUCAUAAAAAGCCAACGAGGAGAUUCUGGCAUACAGAGCAUAAAACAGAACUGAACCACAGCUGGCACACCAGCAACUCCGAGCAUCCACCGCCAUGUUCCAGGGACCUGUCAAAGUAAAAAAAACAACAUUAGAAAGCAAAAACAACAAGGAAAAAAAAUAUUUGAAAAUUCUAAAAGAAAGAAUAAUCAUGCCCUAAAAUGCUAGAGAAUUUUAUACAUGCUUAUCCUUUGAUAAGUUUAGUCAUUUAAUAUUUUUCAACAAUUUUGAGAAGAUAAGAAUUUUGCCUUUGUGACACAAGAAUUUUAACCCAUUUCUGAUGAAUUUUUUCUAUUUUAAAGGAAAAUUAGAAUCUUUGAAGUAACGCAUCAAAUUUAUGCAGCUAGCUCCUUUAAUCAAACUAUAAACUAUAUAUAAUGUAUAGACGGUUAAUAGGUGCCCUGCCUUCUCUUCUUGCCUUGGCAACAAUAAAAAUAGUCUCCAAAAGAAAGUUCAAAUGAUGAGGCUAUACUAUUUUGUACUUUUACUGAGAAGACCAACAAAGUUUGACCUUUUUUAGGACAGAAUAAUUUCCCCAUCAUGGCAGAGAGACAAAAAAGCUGGCAAAGCUGGACAAGAGAAGCUGCAGCGAUGUAAAGAAGAAAAAUGGGCUAAUAAUAUAAACAGAAAAAGGUAGAGAGAACACCAGACAAACAGUAUUUCCAGAAGAAAGGCAACAGAGAAAAUCAGAUACUGUUACCUAACUACAAGGCAAUUUUUAGAACAGGCUUAAAGUCACUUGGCUCAUACCAAAGACCAGGGACCAUAUAAUACCUUCAACAUAAUGAACAAAAUAACUGACAUAAACGCCAAGAGUAUGAUGGCUCAGCACCAAACAACCAACAGAAAUAAAUGGUCAAAGUGUUCAAAACCUUUUCAAGUGAAUACAUCAGUCCUAUCUUUAAGCUAUAACUCCAUUUAAGCCUCUAAGAUUCGAACAAGGGAAGUUGGUCUUUCAUACAACUAGUAAUCACCCUUCUAAAAAAAGAAGUAGAGAGUACAAGCAAAAUGGAAUUGAGAAUUAGAGAAAACUUCUUAUAAAUGUUUUCAGAAAAGGGCUUCCAAACAUAAUUUGUAUGUCAUUUUCUUUUAUACUCUUUCCAGAUAAGCAAAAUCAAAGCACACGAACAAUAUUUUCAAAAUACAGUUCUCAUUUUCCAUUUUUUAUAUAACAUACUGUUAAUUAGUUCACCCCAUAUAAGUAAUUAAUCUAGUGAAUAUAAUAAUGCCAACGUUAAAGAAAAAAGAACUAUUUAUAAAUGCUAUUUUGUAUAAAAAUAUCAAAACCAAGUAAUCUAUAUCGUAAUGAUUUUAAGCCAAUAGAAAUCUGUCACAUGCCAUAAACAACCACUGCACCGUGGAUCAUCUAACUUAGGCAGGAAAGAAAAAGGGUGAUUCCAUCAGGGACGUUUCUCAGUGCCAAAUCUUAAAAUGCAAUCCCAAUAUUCUAUCUUGCUGUCUCUUCAAAGCUGCACAAUAAAAACUUUCACACAACAAAGUUUAUGUAAUGAAUAUAACGCAAACUUCCUUUGCAAUAACUUUACACUUUAAAGUAAAAUUACUGCAGCAAUCAAUAAAUGCUGAUGCAAAGAAUGCAGCAUUAGAGCUGUAAACAUCAUAACAACUGCUACAAACAACUCACUUCAGUUACUUUUCAGGCCUUUUCAUUAUCUAAGAAUCAUUUGAAAAGAAAACAAAAAUCCUUUUCUAUGUUAAAUUCUUUGGUAUUCAAGUAAAACUUCAACCAUCUAAACGUCACAAAACUUUGACCAUCUAAACGUCACUAUUAAAGAAAAGAAAAAGAAAAUGAAAGAAAACUUAAAUUUUGACAUCAUAUUGAUGUCAUUAAAAUGCCCUCCAUCAAUCACAAUUCAAUAAACUAUUAUAAAUCAAAUAAAAAGGGAUAAAUUGAGACAAAAAUAAAGAAACAAAUCUGUGUUCUUCUCCCUCAAACCAGCCGAACUCCAUGAGAGAAUUGCUUCCACCAUUUUCUUGCAAUUUAGCUUUAUUUCCUCAUGCUUCUCACCCUAAAAGCCCUAACCACCUUCACUAAAAAUUACACCCACACCAAGGAGAAGUGUUUGGCAGCCAAGAAAGAGUAAGAAAGUGAAGAAAAAAAAAUUGAAGUCUUGGUUAGCUUAGAUUUGAGCUACAAGAGGUUAGUGCUUACUUUCCCUUCUUUCUUUCAUUAGAUCUUGAAUUGAAGUUAGGGGGAGUUGAUAUUGCAUGAAAAAGUAAGAAAACAAGGGGUAUGGGAAUGACCAAAAUUUCAGUAGCCAUGGUGAAGGGUGUUCCUUGAAGUUUUUAAUUGAUAUGAUUUGGGUUAGUGAGGUUGAUUGAUGAAUUUAUAUGUAUUAAAUAUUGAAUUGCUUGGAAUAUACUUGAGAUUAAAAUUUUUCAUUAGGGUUUGACCAUAAAUUAGGACCUUUGUGAAAUUGUUGGAAAUUUGCAUCUUGAGAUUGGUUGUUUCUUAAUUAAAGUGCCAUAUAUGUCAAAUUUGUAGUUUAGGAGAUUGGAGGACAUGAAUUGGGAGUGCACUUUUCCUUGUAGGUUUGGGACUUUAUAAGUCCAGUGUAUUGGUUGAACUAUAACUGAAAUUGUGCAGCUCCAAUUGGUAUGAGGCCAAUUGAAGGUGAAACUAGACCCAAAAUAG
This 4219-nucleotide unclassified non-coding RNA is filed under the name Hevea brasiliensis (rubber tree). Lineage: Eukaryota; Viridiplantae; Streptophyta; Magnoliopsida; Malpighiales; Euphorbiaceae. The record is from RNAcentral.